UUUUCUCUCUUGGUCUUAAAUCUCAAGCAACCAACAUUCUAAUAUGAAAGGAAAAAGAAAUGUAACGUCUUUUUUGUGAAAAGUUAGUAACUGAAGAUAGUUGACAACUCGUCAUACCCAUAUCUAAGUAGCGUUCCAAUAUGCUAUAAAUGUGGAGGAGAAGCUUUUGUAAUUGUAAUAAACACAAUAAAUAUUUGGCCGAAGUUAUGAAGAUGAAGAGUUGGUUAUGAAGGGGGGGCUAUAUAUAAUAGCAGGUGGUUGUUGAGACAUCACAUGUUACAUCCAUGGAAUUCCUCCAGGUCCAACAACAAUAUUUCACUAGGGAAAGGAGAGAAAACAAGCAUAGGGAGCACAAAGAUUUCAUGGACGUGCUGUUUUACAAUGAGUAUAUAUAUGAUUAUCAGAUUGACAACUUAUUUGUGGCUGUUAUCUUCUCAUAUUCUUUUACUUGUAUAAUUAUCUUUAUUUUCAUGUUUCUUAGUCAUUAAUUUUUUGUCGUGAAGAUGAUUGUUAUUUAGCCACUGUUGCAUUAACACAAGUUCAACAUUCCUGUCCAAUACUUUUUUUUUUUUUUUUUUUUU
RNAcentral lists this long non-coding RNA (581 nucleotides) under Nicotiana benthamiana. RNAcentral describes it as "long non-coding RNA (NBEN_LNC005510)". The record is from RNAcentral. Lineage: Eukaryota; Viridiplantae; Streptophyta; Magnoliopsida; Solanales; Solanaceae.